Molecule: ribosomal RNA, 382 nt
Filed under: uncultured eukaryote
Lineage: Eukaryota
Description: partial 18S ribosomal RNA
Rfam family: Eukaryotic small subunit ribosomal RNA
Source: RNAcentral
UGUAAGCGUAUACCAAAGUUGUUGCAGUUAAAACGCUCGUAGUCGGAAUUUGGCAGUUCCGGAUGUGUGCACGUCGUGUGCGCACUUCGCGGGGAUUGCUUUUGUGGUCUUGCGUAGGAUGAGGCACUUUUAUUAGUGAACGUCCUCACGCAACCACUUUUUACUGUGAGAAAAUCAGAGUGCUCAAAGCAGGCAUUUGCCGUGAAUGUAUUAGCAUGGAAUAAUAGAAUAGGACUGGGUUCUAUUUUGUUGGUUUGUUGGGACUGAGUAAUGAUUAAGAGGGACAGUUGGGGGCAUUUGUAUUUCGGUGCUAGAGGUGAAAUUCUUAGAUUACCGAAAGACAAACUGCUGCGAAAGCGUCUGCCAAGGAUGUUUUCAUUGA